RNAcentral lists this ribosomal RNA (422 nucleotides) under Bacillota bacterium. RNAcentral's name for it is "Firmicutes bacterium partial 16S ribosomal RNA". It matches the Rfam family "Bacterial small subunit ribosomal RNA", at positions 355 to 776 of the family's 1533-position model. Lineage: Bacteria; Bacillati; Bacillota. The record is from RNAcentral.
UGGGGAAUCUUGCGCAAUGGCCGAGAGGCUGACGCAGCGACGCCGCGUGUGGGAGGACGCCUUUCGGGGUGUAAACCACUGUUGCCCGGGACGAACUCCUCUAUGCGUAGAGGUUGACGGUACCGGGUGAGGAAGCACCGGCUAACUCCGUGCCAGCAGCCGCGGUAAUACGGAGGGUGCGAGCGUUGUCCGGAAUCAUUGGGCGUAAAGGGCGCGUAGGUGGCCCGGUCAGUCUUUGGUGAAAGCGCGGGGCUCAACCCUGCGUCGGCCAGGGAUACUGCCGCGGCUGGAGCACUGUAGAGGCAGGCGGAAUUCCGGGUGUAGCGGUGGAAUGCGUAGAGAUCCGGAAGAACACCGGUGGCGAAGGCGGCCUGCUGGGCAGUUGUUGACACUGAGGCGCGACAGCGUGGGGAGCAAACAGG